Varroa destructor (honeybee mite) is the source of this 762-nucleotide long non-coding RNA. RefSeq lists it as uncharacterized. Lineage: Eukaryota; Metazoa; Arthropoda; Arachnida; Mesostigmata; Varroidae. The record is from RefSeq and is a predicted model, not a curated record.
CUUAUAUUUAACAUAAUCAUAUUUAACAUCAAAAAUUCUCAAAACGUACGUACUGCUAUAAGGCUAUAUGGUAAAUAAUUAAAUAUCAUGAGAGGGCUUUCUUUGUGGUCGUCGCCUUGUUCCAGUCGAGCCGGCCUGAACUAACGCGGAUAUUCUACCUGUAAUUUGCAGUCGCCGACCGUGGUGGAACCGAACUGCCAAAGACGAUCGGAUAAUUUUCAAUAGAUGGUCAGAGGAUAUUUCAGAGGGGCGCACAAAUAACUCGCAUCGAGUUCAAAUGAUCAAAAAGACGACCAUUGUUAAAAAUUCUCUGUUUUACUUUUGGAUAGGGAAUACUUGAGCAAAGCCAGGAUUAAAGAGGGCUAGCUUUAACUGAGUACAUGCACAUUUUUCAGUCGUUCCCUGUCAUCCAUCGCCAUGAAACAAAAUCUUGCCUCGCUGCUUUAUUACGCGUGUAAUUGGUUUACGAUUGUUUGUGACCAAUUUUUUUUCCAUAACUAGCUUAUGUUUAAAAACUACAAGCGGAUGUAUUUAAAAUUAUCAAAUAUAUGAAACAGGCCAAAAUGUUUCAAAGCUUAAGCUAUACGAAAAAAAUUCACAUUGUGUUCACAUAAAAGCAAGCGUUGAAAUGUUGUAUAUUAAUGUAUCAUAUAAUUACUCAGUUUAUUUGGGUUAUUUGAGCUUCAAAUUAAUAAAGCAUACUGUAUUUUUUAUGUCCACCCGGGAAAUAUAAACAGAUAUUUAGUUUGCAUGCACGUUCAU